AUGGCCACCUACCUCUCUGACCUUAUCAGUGACCAUUCCCUAGAUUUCCUGGGUCUGCAAGAGACCAUGAAAGAAAAAAUUUCUCCCAAAUGUUUGAGGAGAAUUGAUCCCUUUAACUCGUUCAAUUGGUACUGGAUCCCUUCUGUUGGCAAAUCUGGAGGUAUCCUAUGUAGAGUUAGACAGGACACCCUGGAAGUGGUUACAUGUGACAAAGGCAAGUAUAUCUUGCAGUUAGUGGUUGGGGACAAAAGGAAAAAAACCAACUGGGGUCUGUUGAUAGUGUAUGGCUCUGCUCACGAAGAACAUAAGGAGGCAUUCUUGCUUGAGCUUGCUACUAUGUGUCAUAAUAUGCAAGUCCCUUAUAUAGUGGGUGGGGACUUCAAUAUUCUCACGCACCCUGGGGAGAAAAACAAAAAAAUGGCAAGCCAUAAAUCCACUAACCUGUUCAAUUCUAUUAUUAACACCAUGGCCCUUAGAGAGAUUCAUAUUAGUGGGGAUAAAUAUACUUGGACGAACAAUCAAGCUCACCCUACCUUGGAGAAGCUUGAUCGUGUCCUGAUGUCUGAGGAGUGGGAGGAAUUAUUUCCCCUGGUUUCUGUUAGGAAAUUGGUUCGAGAGAUCUCGGACCAUAACCCUUUGCUGAUUAACUCUGAG
This 654-nucleotide ribosomal RNA is filed under the name Triticum aestivum (bread wheat). RNAcentral describes it as "partial small subunit ribosomal RNA". The record is from RNAcentral. Lineage: Eukaryota; Viridiplantae; Streptophyta; Magnoliopsida; Poales; Poaceae.